This 395-nucleotide unclassified non-coding RNA is filed under the name soil metagenome. Its description in RNAcentral is "partial contains 5.8S ribosomal RNA, internal transcribed spacer 2, and large subunit ribosomal RNA". The stretch from base 1 to 120 matches the Rfam family "5.8S ribosomal RNA", at positions 35 to 154 of the family's 154-position model. The record is from RNAcentral.
GAUGAAGAACGUAGCGAAAUGCGAUACGUAAUGUGAAUUGCAGAAUUCAGUGAAUCAUCGAGUCUUUGAACGCACAUUGCGCCUUUUGGUAUUCCGAAAGGCACACCUGUUUGAGCGUCAUGAAUACCUCAAUCUCCAUCUUUUCUUCGGAUUGAUGGGUGACUUGGAUGUUGAGCCCUGCUGGUAUGCUAUAUCAGCUGGCUUUAAACUUAUUAGCCGGCUCUGUACUGGAUCGGUUUGACUCGACGUGAUAAUAUUAUCGUUGAGGAUGCAUGUCUCAUGCAGCCGGAAAGUAUCAAAGCAGCUUCUAGCUUGCCUUUAGUGCACUUUUACAUUUUAGACCUCAGAUCAGGUGGGACUACCCGCUGAACUUAAGCAUAUCAAUAAGCGGAGGA